UACGUAGGCAGCAAGCGUUGUCCGGAUUUAUUGGGCGUAAAGAGCGUGUAGGCGGCCAGACAGGUCAGCUGUGAAAACUCGAGGCUCAACCUCGAGACGUCGGUUGAAACCGUCUGGCUAGAGUCCGGAAGAGGAGAGUGGAAUUCCCGGUGUAGCGGUGAAAUGCGCAGAUAUCGGGAAGAACACCCGUGGCGAAGGCGGCUCUCUGGGACGGUACUGACGCUGAGGAGCGAAAGCGUGGGGAGCGAACAGG
This 253-nucleotide ribosomal RNA is filed under the name uncultured bacterium. Its description in RNAcentral is "partial 16S ribosomal RNA". It matches the Rfam family "Bacterial small subunit ribosomal RNA", at positions 524 to 776 of the family's 1533-position model. The record is from RNAcentral.